GAUGAACGCUGGCGGCGUGCCUAAUACAUGCAAGUCGAGCGAAGCGGGGACGGGUGAGUAACACGUGGAUAACCUCCUAUAAGACUGGGAUAACUUCGGGAAACCGGAGCUAAACCGGAUACUUAUAGAUGGAUCCGCUCUGCAUUAGCUAGUUGGUAAGGUAACGGCUUACCAAGGCAACGAUGCAUAGCCGACCUGAGAGGGUGCGCCCCCCCACUGGAACUGAGAAACGGUCCAACCUCCUCCCCGCCGCUUGCUUUGGGUGUCGUCCGCUCUGGGCUAAAGCCUGACGGAGCAACGCCGCGUGAGUGAUGAAUGUCUGCGGAUCUUCCAACUCUGUUAUUUGGGAAGCGGUACCUAAUCAGAAAGCCACGGCUAACUACGUGCCAGCAGCCGCGGUAAUAC
Molecule: ribosomal RNA, 405 nt
Filed under: uncultured bacterium
Lineage: Bacteria
Description: partial 16S ribosomal RNA
Rfam family: Bacterial small subunit ribosomal RNA
Source: RNAcentral